Molecule: non-coding RNA, 74 nt
Organism: Papilio xuthus (Asian swallowtail)
Lineage: Eukaryota; Metazoa; Arthropoda; Insecta; Lepidoptera; Papilionidae
Source: Rfam
CAUAAAUGAUGUAAAAACAUUUCCUGAAAUACCAUGAGGUACACAAAUAUACGAGCUUUUUAACACUGAUAUUG